This 536-nucleotide unclassified non-coding RNA is filed under the name Fusarium petroliphilum. Its description in RNAcentral is "sequence contains 18S rRNA gene, ITS1, 5.8S rRNA gene, ITS2, 28S rRNA gene". The stretch from base 160 to 313 matches the Rfam family "5.8S ribosomal RNA". The record is from RNAcentral. Lineage: Eukaryota; Fungi; Ascomycota; Sordariomycetes; Hypocreales; Nectriaceae.
GAUCAUUACCGAGUUAUUCAACUCAUCAACCCUGUGAACUUACCUAAACGUUGCUUCGGCGGGAAUAGACGGCCCUGUAAAACGGGCCGCCCCCGCCAGAGGACUCUUAACUCUGUUUCUUAUAAUGUUUCUUCUGAGUAAAACAAGCAAAUAAAUUAAAACUUUCAACAACGGAUCUCUUGGCUCUGGCAUCGAUGAAGAACGCAGCGAAAUGCGAUAAGUAAUGUGAAUUGCAGAAUUCAGUGAAUCAUCGAAUCUUUGAACGCACAUUGCGCCCGCCAGUAUUCUGGCGGGCAUGCCUGUUCGAGCGUCAUUACAACCCUCAGGCCCCCGGGCCUGGCGUUGGGGAUCGGCGGAGCGCCCCUCGUGGGCGCACGCCGUCCCCCAAAUACAGUGGCGGUCCCGCCGCAGCUUCCAUCGCGUAGUAGCUAACACCUCGCGACUGGAGAGCGGCGCGGCCACGCCGUAAAACACCCCAACUCUUCUGAAGUUGACCUCGAAUCAGGUAGGAAUACCCGCUGAACCUAAGCAUAUCA